UCGGGAAUAUUGCGCAAUGGAGGAAACUCUGACGCAGUGACGCCGCGUGCAGGAAGAAGGUUUUCGGAUUGUAAACUGCUUUAGACAGGGAAGAAAAAAGACAGUACCUGUAGAAUAAGCUCCGGCUAACUACGUGCCAGCAGCCGCGGUAAUACGUAGGGAGCGAGCGUUAUCCGGAUUUAUUGGGUGUAAAGGGUGCGUAGACGGGAAAUUAAGUUAGUUGUGAAAGCCCACGGCUCAACUGUGGAAUUGCAACUAAAACUGAUUUUCUUGAGUAUUGGAGAGGAAAGUGGAAUUCCUAGUGUAGCGGUGAAAUGCGUAGAUAUUAGGAGGAACACCAGUGGCGAAGGCGACUUUCUGGACAAAAACUGACGUUGAGGCACGAAAGUGUGGGGAGCAAACAGG
RNAcentral lists this ribosomal RNA (405 nucleotides) under uncultured bacterium. RNAcentral describes it as "bacterial SSU rRNA". It matches the Rfam family "Bacterial small subunit ribosomal RNA", at positions 355 to 776 of the family's 1533-position model. The record is from RNAcentral.